Molecule: ribosomal RNA, 461 nt
Filed under: uncultured bacterium
Lineage: Bacteria
Description: partial 16S ribosomal RNA
Rfam family: Bacterial small subunit ribosomal RNA
Source: RNAcentral
CCUACGGGAGGCAGCAGUGAGGAAUAUUGGUCAAUGGGCUUACGCCUGAACCAGCCAAGUCGCGUGAAGGAAGACGGCCCUAUGGGUUGUAAACCUCUUUUGUCAGGGAGCAACGCCGGCUACGUGUAGCCGGAGUGAGAGUACCUGACUAAAAAGCCCCGGCUAACUACGUGCCAGCAGCCGCGGUAAUACGUAGGGGGCGAGCGUUAUGCGGAUUUACUGGGUGUAAAGGGAGCGUAGGCGGCCAUGCAAGGCAGGGGGGAAAACGCGGGGCCCAACCCCGGGACUGCCGUUGGAACUGGAGGGCUGGAGUGCGGGAGGGGUAGGCGGAAUGCGUGGUGUAGCGGUGAAAUGCGGAGAUAUCAGGAGGAACACCGGCGGCGAAGGCGGCCGGCUGGACCGCGACUGACGUUGAGGCACGAAAGCGUGGGGAGCGAACAGGAUUAGAUACCCCAGUAGUC